RNAcentral lists this long non-coding RNA (22515 nucleotides) under Eutrema salsugineum. RNAcentral describes it as "long non-coding RNA (ESAL_LNC000289)". Lineage: Eukaryota; Viridiplantae; Streptophyta; Magnoliopsida; Brassicales; Brassicaceae. The record is from RNAcentral.
AAGCCGGGAAAAUCCACAUAUAGCAGAAUGGGUGGGGUUAAUGCUUACAAAAGGAGACAUCACAAGCAUUAUGGAUCCAAGUCUAAAUGGAGACUAUGAUUCUGGUUCUGUGUGGAAAGCUGUUGAACUAGCAAUGUCUUGUAUAAAUCCUUCUUCAACGAGAAGACCUACCAUGUCUCAAGUUGUUAUUGAAUUAAACGAUUGCCUAGCAUCUGAAAAUUCAAGGGCAGGAGCGAGUAGGGACAUGGACUCAAAGAGUUCCAUAGAAGUGAGCUUGACAUUUGGUACCGACGUGAACCCAACGGCUCGGUAGAUUACAUGAAAACUUAUCAUGCGGUACCACGUAAAUUUUUAUUUAUAUGUUUCUGUUUUUUACGUGAAGAAUUAUCAUGGAUACCAUAUUCCCAAUCACUUGGAGCAAUCAUCUACGGAUAGGCAACUUGAUUUAGAGACCCAAAAAAACUUUUUCAUUUAAUCCUUAUAAAUGAUUGAUGAAUAUAUAUGUCUAAAUUAUUGUCAGCUGUUAUGUAAUUAAUGAGCUUUCCAAGUUGCAAAGCAGACCAUAAUUUUGGACUUUUUUCUCACCUCUGUCAUAUCAGUCGACACUUGCAAUAGGUCCACUGCAUUUGUAUAACUUAUUCACCUUUUAGUUAUCUCGUUAGUUGGACUUGGGCCAUAAUUAAGAAAUUAGACAGGAGUGACCGAAGUAUAUAAGUGCGUUUAUAGAUGGACAAGUACAUCUCAUCAAUAAAAAGGUACGGCUAGAAAUAAGAAAAAGGGAUGAUAAAAUAAUGUGGGGGGAGGGGGGGGAGUGGGGUGGGGAAAAGGGGUAAUAAGUCAUUUCCUCACUACUUGUUGUGAAUAGACACCGGUUUCUUUAUUGAAUAUGUGAAUAAUCAAUUACAAUCUCUAAUUACAAUCUUUAAGCUUAUAUUUAUAUCUUCAAAAACCCAACUCUCAAACCGAAUUGAUAAAUGAAAUCUUUUAUCGAGCCCAUUAAAAAAACCAUAUUGUAAGAGUCCGUUACAUUUUUCAGUUCGCUCUAAAAGAGUUUCUUUAGUUAUUUUUGUCACCAGAAACAACAUCAUUCAAUACACUUUUUUGUUUCCAUGAUCAGCGCAAAGUAUCAAUCGAGUAAUUUAACUAAUUUUAAAGCAAAAGACAAUGAUUAUUGGUAAUUACCCACACAUGAACCUUAGUACCAAUAUGCAUGCGUAUAUCAACCAAAUCAAAUCAUCAAUAUGGUCCACAAGACGUAAAAGAGUUGGACCCCAUGAUAUUGUCAAGGUUAAUAUUGGCAUAUAUAUAAAAGCUAUUAAACUAUGUUAAUAUAGUUUGUAACACAUGGUGUACUUCAAUUUUUGUAGGCCCAUAUCCUUGUGUAUUUACGCAUAACAUUGUCCAUGAAUAAAAGGUAAGUGAGUUUAAUAUCAAAAUCUACAUGGUAUCAGAGCAUAAUUUAUGAAACCUAAUUUUUUUUUAAAAAAUUGGUAUUAUAUCUUCGAAGUUCCAAAAUUUUAUUUUUUACGUCUGGUUAUUUCAGUGAGAUAUAACAACAAUGACUGGUGGAGUGGAUUCAUCAGUUUUCAAAAGUUUGAUCCCAGAUCGAAACAGUGAUGAGGUUGUAUGGUUCGGACAACCCUGGUGCUUUAAUCACUUCGGUUAUGUUAACCGGAGAAAAUUAUAACGAAUGGUCAAUUGAGUUACUCAAUGCUUUCCAAGCCAAAUAGGUUUAUCAACCGUACGUUGAAGAAACCGGCGAAUUCAAGUCCUGAUCUCGAAAAAUGGCUUGCGGUGAAUUCGAUGCUUGUUGGUUGGAUUCGUACUUCGAUCGAACCUAGGGUAAGAAGCAUAGUGACCUACAUCUCUGACGCUUGUUUGCUUUGGGAGACUUUGAAAUAGAGGUUUUAGGUGGGCAACGAGGUUCGCGUCCAUCAAUUGAAGGCUCAACUUGCGUCGUGGAGGCAAGAAGGACAACCUGUGUUGGAUUACUUUGGUCGUCUCUCCAAUUUGUGGGAAGAAUUGCAGGUGUAUCGUCCGGUUCAUGUCUGUACUUGUGGUGCUGCUGCGGCAAUCGCAAAAGAUCAAGAGAAAGAGAAGAUCCAUCAAUUUGUGAUGGGUCUUGAUGAUGCGAGAUUUGGUAGGAUUUGUACAACCAUAAUUGGUAUGGAUCAUCUCCCUUCACUUGGAGAAAUUUACAAUAAAAUCGUUCGUGAAGAACAGAGAAUUGCCUCUGCGCGUGGACGUGAGCAACAACAAGAUGUUGUGAUAGUCAAAGCAGAUAAUCAAAGCAGAGUUGAGAAUUUAAUCCUUCGAUCACACAUUCUAUGUUCUCAUUGUGGAAGAUCAGGUCACGAGAAACGUGACUGUUGGCAGAUCGUUGGAUUCCGGGAGUGGUACACCGAACGCUCUGGAAGAGGUGGUCGCGGUUCAAACAACAAUGCGGGUCAUGGUCGUGGUCAAGUUAGUGCAGCUCAUGCCACGAGCUCUAACUAGUCUUUGUUUCCUGAGCUUACUUCUGAGCAAUGGAAAGUUUUAACUCAGAUGAUUCAAGAAAAAGCUGGUUCAUCUAAUGUGUCUGAUAAGUUAUCAGGUAAGAAUGAUCUCGGUGAUGUCAUUCUUGAUACAGGUGCUUCCCAUCACAUGACGGGAAACCUGUCUUUGUUGACCAAUGUUGGUAUCAUCUCGCCGUGUUUGGUGGGAUUCGCUGAUGGAAAUAAGACUUUUGCCAUCAGCAUGGGCUCUUUGUAUCUCUCAGCCCAAAUUACCUUGACGAACGUUCUUUACGUCCCAGAUUUGAAUUGCACCCUUAUCUCGUUUGCAAAGUUGUUAAAACAAACAAAUUGUUUUACACUAAUGUCUGAUACGAUUUGUGUUUUACAGGACCGUUCUUCGAGGACCCUGAUUGGAGCCGUUGAAGAGUGUGAUGGUGUGUAUUACUUUAUGGAUAUUGUCUCAACAAAGAGUCAUCGAGCAGUUGUGAUCUGCUCAAAGUUUAAUCCCUAAACUACUCUGCAAGAGCACAGAUGUGCAGUUGUAGUAUCUAGGGGUCGAACCACAGAGACAAGAGAUCACUCAAUAAACCUUAUGUAGAUGGAGUUACGCUAAGCCAAAAUAUGCGAAACAAAUAGCAAUGCGACAGAGAUAAAUAAAACAGCAAGGAAAAUGGUUUGUAAGUUCGAUGUGGUAAGGAUUAGGUCUAGGGCGUUUUCAGGAGAUCAAUGAAUGCAGAUCAACUUAACAAGUCAGGGUUCAGAUAUUAAGCACGGUUCUUGAACUCGAAACACAGAACUAUAAUUAACCAACUUCCGUUGUGAGAAUUAUCUAAGUUAAAAUCCUAGAAUUCCAAAUUCCUUUGCAAAUCCUACAGAUUUAAACCAGCCUUAAUUGCACAAGUUCGAUAUGUUCACAAAGCUCCUAAACCAAAUUCCUUUGCGAAUAGUUACUUUGCUCAACUCAGGUUCUUUCCAGUUAUUCAAUUACACUUCCGUGUCAAUCAAGCAACCUAAGACCUAAGUUCUAGGUGAUCAGUCUAGAAUUUGCUUUAAGAACAACCUAAGGUGAAGAACAAAUAGAUAUGAACCCUAGCUAGCAAGUUAAUCAAACAUUCAAAGAAAACCCUAAUUAACCCUAAACCUAACAGGUGAUCUACUCAGACAUGGUUAUUGAAACAACAAACAUGAUGAAUAGAAAGCAAUAGAUUAAAUCGAAAUAGAUAAAGGGGUUCGAAAUCUUCUCUCUAAACGAACAGAGUUCAGACUUGUCUCCCCAAGCUCAGAAAUCGCAAAAGCCGAAAACUCAGAGUAUCUCUCUCUCAAAAAUCUCCGGUUCUCGUAAAAAGGGAAUAAAAAUCCUAUAUAUAUCUCUAAGACACGUCUUGGGCUUCCUUGAAAACGUUUGGGCCCAACUCCUUCUUCAAAUAGGAAACAAAAUCGCCUUUUCCUUAUUUCUCUGACAAGUGUCGAGCGUCACUCUCCAUGGUGUCGAGCGUCACUAAAGCACAAAAUCCAUUCUUGACGAAUUUGAUCCUGAUUAAGCUCCAAAGUGCUCCAAAGUCUCCAGCUAAGCUCCAAACGUACCUAUGACCUGAAAAGACUCCAAAAGACUCGAAAGACACUAAAAAGACUCUAUAAAUAAGACAUAUACCAUGGUUAAAAACCAUAAAAACCAUGAUAUAUCAAGUUGGUACUUCAGAUCAAGCUUUGUGGCAUCAGCGUUUGGGACAUCCAUCUUUUUCAGUAUUUUUGGAUUUUGUGUCGCUUUCUACCUCUUCAAAAACGCCUAGCUCUAGUUCUUGUGACAUUUGUUUUAGAGCUAAGCAAACUCGGGAAAGUUUUUAUGAUAGUUUGAAUACAACAAAGGAAUGUUUUUCCCUUAUUCAUGUUGACGUUUGGGGACCGUAUCGAGUUCCUUCUUCUUGUGGUGCGGUGUAUUUUUUAACAAUUGUAGACGAUUUCUCACGUGUUGUGUGGAUGUUUCUUUUGCUUGAAAAUCAGAAGUCCAAAAUGUUUUGAAGAGGUUUCUUGUUUAUACCGAAAUACAAUUUAACAAACAAGUUAAAAUUGUUCGAAGCGAUAAUGGUACUGAAUUCAUGGUGCUUGCGUCUUUCUUCAAAGAUAAUGGGAUUGUUCACCAAACGUCUUGUGUUGCAACACCACAGCAAAAUGGAAAGGUUGAACGCAAACACAGACAUAUACUUAAUGUUUCACGGGAAAUUAUGUUCCAAGCGAAUCUUCCUAUCAAGUUUUGGGGAGAGGCUGUGUUAACCGCUGCGUACUUGAUCAAUCGAACGCCCACAUCUAUUCACCAUGGGUGUUCCCUAUAUGAAGUCCUCCACAGUGUGAAACCUGACUACAAACAAUUGUACGUGCAUUUUGUUAUGUUCAUCGGCAAGCUCGUGACAAAGAUAAAUUUGGUCACCGGAGUCGUUUGUGUGUGUUUGUUGGUUACCCGUUUGGUAAGAAAGGAUGGAAGGUUUAUGAUAUUGAACGAGAUGAGUUUCUGAUUUCACGUGAUGUCAUUUUUUGGGAGGACGUGUUUCCUUUUGCUGACCAACAGAUUGUGAAGCUAGUUUCGACUCCAGAGGUUAUGAAUAAUAAUGAUGAUUGGUGUGUUACGCCUGAAGUAAGAGGGAGCAUUGAUUCUGAUUUAUCUCCGCCGUCUCCUCUGCCUAAUGAAAUGGUGGAGACAAUGUCUUCUCCUGAGGGAAUUCUCUCGUGCUCCGCUGCAAAAUACAACUUUAGACUCUACACCUCCAAGUGUGGAUGAGACAGUUGUCGAAUCCGUUACUGCUUUGGCACCAGUUCAUGAGCCCGUGACAGUACAACAAACUCCGAUUCCUACCGAAGUUCUUGGUAGAGGCCUUCGUGAAAAGACCAAAUAUGUGCGUUUGAAAGAUUGCUUCCUUUACAAUGCAACGAAUAAUGCACAUCACGCUCUUCCCAACUCUAUGUCCUCGUCGACGGUCCAAGGUACUUCACUAUAUCUUUUAUCUGAUUUUGUGACAGAUGCUCAGUUUUCUCCAGGUCAUCGCGCUUACUUAGCUUCCAUUACAUCUGCGGUCGAACCUAAACAUUUUAAAGCAGCUGUCCGGAUCAAGGUUUGGGAUAACGCGAUGGAUACGGAAGUGGUCGCUCUUGAAGGCCAACACACAUGGGAUGUUGUUGAUCUACCUUCAGGUAAAGAAGCUAUUGGAAGCCAAUGGGUUUAUAAGAUUAAAUACAAUGUCGAUGGUUCUAUUGAACGGUAUAAAGCGCGUCUUGUUGUACAAGGCAAUAACCAGAUCGAGGGAGAAGAUUAGAAAGAAACAUUUGCUCCUGUGGUUAAAAUGACCACGGUUCGCACCUUAAUGCGUCUAGUUGCCGCAAAACAAUGGGAAGUUUAUCAGAUGGACGUCAAUAAUGCUUUUCUUCAUGGUGAUCUUGAGGAGGAAGUUUAUAUGAAGCUUCUACCAGGCUUUCAUCACACUCACCCCGACAAAGUUUGUCGUCUUCGUAAGUCUCUCUAUGGUCUUAAACAAGCUCCACGCUAUUGGUUUAAGAAGCUCUCUGACUCAUUGCUACGCUUUGGUUUUGUCCAAUCCUACGAUGAUUACUCGCUGUUCUCGUAUUCGCGCAAGGGUAUUGAGCUUCGCGUCUUAGUAUAUGUUGAUGAUCUUCUUAUCUGCGGGAAUGACAUGCAUAUGCUUAAAAAGUUUAAAGAAUACUUAGGCAAAUGUUUUGCGAUGAGAGACUUAGGUCGGUUGAAAUACUCUCAUGGUAUUGAGGUGAGCCGAGGACGUGAAGGAAUUUUUUAUCUCAACGCAAGUACGCGUUAGAUAUCAUCGCGGAUACAGGAAACUUGGGUUGCAAAUCUGCUCCAACACCACUUGAGCAGAAUCAUAAUCUUGCAAAGGCAACAGGUCCGGUUCUUGAAGAUCCCAAGAAGUAUCGUCGUCUUGUUGGACGCCUUAUUUAUUUGUUGAACACUCGUCCUGAGUUAAGUUAUGCUGUUCAUAUCUUGUCCGAGUUCAUGCAAGCACCCAAAGAGGCUCAUUGGUUAGCGGCAUUGCGUGUUGUUCGUUUCUUAAAGGGGAUGCCAGGCCAAGGUAUUAUGCUAAAGUCCGACUCUGAUCUUACUCUUACGGUCUAUUGCAAUUUCGACUGGUCAUCGUGUCCUUUGACGCGUCGAUCUCUUAGUGCUUUUAUUAUUAUGCUUGGAGGUUCUCCAAUAUCUUGGAAGACAAAGAUGCAAAAGACAGUUUCUCAUUCAUCAGCUGAAGCAGAGUAUCGAGCUAUGGCAACAGCUCUUCCUGAGAUCAAGUGGGUUCGUCGAUUGGUGCAAGGUUUAGGUGUGGAUAAGUCUGUGCUGAUUCAUUUUUUUCUGCGACAGCAAAGCUGCAAUAAGCAUCGCUGCGAAUCCAGUCUUUCAUGAACGCACCAAGCACAUCGAAAAUGAUUGUCAUGCGGAGCGUGAUGCAGUUCAAGAGGGUAUUAUUGCUACUCAACACAUUACUACUGACUCACAAAUUGCAGACAUUUUGACUAAAGCUUUCGGACGUGCUCCGUUUACUACUUUAGCGUCCAAGUUGGGCGUUCAAAAUCUCCACGCUCCAACUUGAGGGGGAGUAUUGGCAUAUAUAUAAAAGCUAUUAAACUAUGUUAAUAUAGUUUAUCCCACAUCGUGUACUUGAGUUUUUGUAACCUGAUAUCCUUGUGUAUUUAAGCACAACAUUAUGCAUGAAUAAAAGGCAAGUGAGUUUAAUAUCAAAAUCUACAGUUAAGAUUGUUUACAAAGUCCUGAUUUUGUUUUCAUGAUCAGCUUUAUAUAAUUAUAUAUAUAUAUAUAUACUGUAUUAAUUAUAGAAUAUUUAGAUUUAAAAUUAAAUGGGAAUCUGCGUAACUAUAAUCCAUGUUAUUUAUUAUAUUAAAACAGAAUCACUUUUAGUAUUUGUUUCCAAACACUCCCAAAGUUUUUUUUAAAAUAUUAUAUAUAUAUAUAUUUAAUUCUAAAAGUUAGAUAUUAAUUUAGAUAACUAAAUUUUUUUAAAAUAUAGGUUAUAUCUAUAGUCUAUAGAUAUUAAUUUAAAUAUACUUCCUUAAAUAUAUGUUAGAUUUAAUUUAACAUGUGAAAUUUAAAUAAGAUUUUCAGAAUAACACAUAUGAUUAACAAAUAUUUUAUAAUUUUUUUAAUCAUAUUCUAUCAGAUUAAAAUUUCACAUAUUAAAAAUAGAUAAAUAUUAAUAUUAUAUAAUAAUUUGAUGGGACAAGUUAAGUUUUUUUUUUAUAAUUAUGGUCUUAUACAGGUUAGGUUAUCAAAGCAAUAUUAGGAGAAAAUUAUUUCAAAAUUAGUAAAUAUUUAUAUUAUAAAGAAAUAUAAAUGGACGGGUUAGAAUUAUGGUUUCAUAAUCAUGAUCUUUUUCGAAUUAAUAAAAUGAGCGAGUUAGAAAUAUAUUUUUAUAAUAACGAUCAUUUUUUGAUUAAUAAAAUCACCGGAUUAAAAAUUAUAUUUUUUUAUUAUGGUGGUCAUAAUAAUACUGAAAAGAUAUAAAAAAAAUUAUAUUUAAACACAAAUUUUUUUAUAUCACUUAUUAAAAAAUUAUAUUUAUAAAGAAAACAUAAAUUAGAUUACAAAUUUUGAUUAAAACAAAAUUCCUGUUUAAAUACACGGAAUAAAAUCUAGUUAAAUUUAAAUUAAAACUCUUAUUUAGUUAUCCAGAACAACUAGAGGGUUUUUGACGUCUACUGACGCCAAAAUUACAGAAUGUCCUUUCGAGUUGACUUAGUCAACCAUUUUGUGGUUCUAUCUUCUAAAAGAUAAGGACAACAAGAGACUUUUCGACCGAAAAACCACUCGUGUCAUUUUCUCUCAAUUAAUCUUAUUUAAUACAUUAAUGACAGACUGACUUAGUCCUUUUGAGAAGUGGCUCAUAUAAUCAGAAUUAAACUCAUAUGCAUAGCUUGCUAUCUUAAAAAAAAAAGAUCGCUCCUUCGCACAGUAAGGAAAAAAUGGAGAUACAUUGUGUGUUCAUUGCCACUUUUAUGCUGAUACUUCAUCUUGUUCAAGCUCAAGAUCCAACCGGUACGUACAAAAUUGUUUUUUUUUUUUUGCUAAAAUGUACAAAAUUUGUUGUUUUAAUUUAUUCAUGUGUGUUCUUCAACGGUUUCUUAGAUUAUGAGAUGUGUAUAUAUUUUCCAUCUAUUAUUCAUUAGGAUUCAUCAACGUGGAUUGCGGUUUACCCCCUCGUGAGUCUCCUUACAACGCACUCCCAACCGGUUUAGAAUAUACAUCAGAUGCCGGUUUAGUUAACAGUGGGAGACUCAGUAGAAUCGCCAAGGGAUUUGAACCGGACUACACUAAGCCAAAUCUGACAUUGAGAUACUUUCCCGACGGAGUACGAAACUGCUACAAUUUCAACGUGACCCGUGACACCAACUAUCUGAUCAAGGCCACGUUCGUAUAUGGAAACUACGAUGGUCUUAAUGUAGAUCCGAACUUCGAUCUUUACUUGGGUCCGAAUUUAUGGACAACGGUAAGCAGUAGUGAAACUGUUGAGGAGAUCAUUCAUUUGACGAAAUCCAAUUCGUUACAGGUCUGCCUUGUUAAGAAGGAAACAACUAUACCUUUUAUUAAUAUCUUGGAGCUACGACCAUUGAGGAAAAAUAUGUACUUUAUUCAAAGCGGCUCACUCAAGUUCUUAUUCAGGGCGUAUUUUAGUGACUCAGGUCGUACUAUACGGUAAUAUUUAUUCAAAAUUAUCUUGUAAAAGUUAAAAUUUAUCUUUUAAUACUAGAUUAGAUUCUGCGUGCAGACAAAUUAUAAAUAUUUAGAUUUUAAAUUGACAACUAGUAUAAUUAGAAUUAAAUUAAAAUUCUUGUUUUGUUAUCCAGAAACUAUAUUUUAAUUCGUAAUUAUAUUUUUUAAAUUAAUCCAUAUCACCCAUAAAUAAUUCUCUUAAAUGAAUGAGUGGGUUUGAAAAAUAAAAUUUUAAAUCUUAUACAACUUAAUAAAAUGAAUAUAUAUAUAUAUACUUUAGAAACAUAGUAUCUUCUGAAUUUAUUGUUCUAACAUGUUAGAAAAAUUAUGUUUUAAUAUAAUAAUCCAGAUUAAAAGUUUACACCUCUGAAUUGCUGUCAUAAAAGAAUUAGCGAGAAUUGUUCUUAUAUAAUUUUAGUAGUUUACAUUUUAUCAAUAUAUUUUUUUUUUCUCGUUCUUUACAUUUUUUGAUUUUACUAGUUUUCAUUCUUUUCAAAACACAAUUUCUUUUUCAUUUCUUAUUUAAAAAUAAAUAACUAUUAAUAACAUUGACAUAUAUCACAAUUUAAACACUCCAACUUUAUAUAAUAAGAGAUAUUAGUGUGUUUUCUUUCAAAUGAGAACUUCAAUCUUUAUUUUUUAAUAUUGAAAUUCUUUUAUUAUUCUGAAACGCAAAAAGAAAAAAAAAACACACACACAGAGACACAAAAACAGUAGAAAAAUAUUAUAUUAGUAAUAUGGUCCAAAACAAAUUGUGCCAGGUAUCCGGAUGAUAUCUAUGAUCGUGAAUGGAAUACACUCUUCCUUGAGAAAUCAUGGGCACAAGUAACGACGACUCUGAAUGUAAAUGCUACUAGUGAAUAUGAAUUACCGCAAGCUGUAAUGUCAACGGGCGCAACACCUCUAAACGAUAAAGAGACAUUGAACGUUACAUGGACCGUAAAGUCUCCUACUACAAUGCUUUACACCUACGUGCACUUUACAGAGCUUCAGACUCUAAGGGCCAAUGAUACGAGGGAAUUUAGUGUGACGCUGAAUGAAAAAAAUUCAUAUGGACCUUACAGUCCUAUACCGCUAAAGACCAAAACCGAACUCGUCAAAAUGCCUGAUCAAUGCGAUGGAGGGACAUGUCUUUUGCAGCUUUUGAAGACGUCGAAAUCAACUCUUCCGCCUCUACUUAAUGCUAUCGAGGCUUACGCGGUGAUUGAUUUCCCGCAAAUGGACACAAAUGAAGAUGACGGUAUGUUGAUUUGACAUUCUUGAUCUUAUCUACAAGAUAAAUGUUUUACGUGCUUGAUAUCAUCAAGCUUUACAAUCGUAGUUGCUGGUAUCAAGAAUGUUCAAGAUGCUUAUGGAUUGAGUAAAAUCUCUUGGCAAGGAGAUCCAUGUGUCUCCAAACAGUUUUUGUGGGAGGGUCUAAACUGCAUUAACUCGGAUAUGUCUAGUCCACCAACAAUCACUUACUUGUAAGAUAAAUCAUUCAGUAAUUUUUCUUUAUUUGUUAAAUCAUACCAAUUUUGAACUAGAUAUCUCACAGUUUUUUUGCUUCAGAGACUUAUCUGCUAGUGGAUUAAGCGGAAUCAUCACGCAUGCCAUUCAAAAUCUUACUCACCUGGAAAUAUUGUAAGUAUAUCUCCACGGCUGACAUAGCCGAAAAUUGUUUAACCAUUGGAAAUGAAUAAUGUUUGAUGAAUUAGUUCACCUUUGUUAAUGGUAGGGACUUGUCAAAUAACAAUUUGACUGGAGAAGUACCUGAAUUUCUAGCUGAUAUAAAAUCACUCCAUGUCAUGUAAGUUUUCAUGAGACACUAGAAUAUUGUUUACUCUUGGCAUUUUCCUGAACAUGUUUGUUUAUGUUUUAACUAUUUGUCUACUCCAACAGAGUCUUAAGUGGUAAUAAUCUCAGCGGCUCGGUUCCUCCCUCACUUCUUCAGAAGAAAGGAUUGAUGCUACAGUAAGCUAUAUUUUCUUUCUUUCCGAUCCAUUUGUUCUCACGCCAAUUGAUGUAUUUGGUAUCUUUAACAACACUCACAUUCUGCAGUGUCGACAACAAUCCCAAUCUUCUUUGCACAACUCGUUCAUGUGUGAAAAAAGGACAUACGAAAAAGAGUAUCAUUGUACCAGUGGUUGCAUCAAUUGCUUCAUUAGCUGUUCUUAUAGGUGCAUUCGUCCUGUUCAUUGUUCUCAGAAAGAAAAAGGCAUCAAAAGUUGAAGGUAUUAAUAAAUAAGCUCAAGAGUAAUAUCAAAACAUGAAUACUCAUCAAAUUAACUUAACCAAAUUUGGCCUUGUAACCUUAGGGCCACAAACAUCGUAUAUGCAAGCAUCAAAUGGUAGACCAUCUCAACCGGCAAUAAUGACAAAGAAUAGAAGGUUUAAUUACUCAGAAGUUGUGACGAUGACAAAUAACUUUCAAAGAGUCCUUGGUAAAGGAGGAUUUGGAAUCGUUUACCAUGGUUUUGUGAACGGUACAGAACAAGUAGCUGUUAAGAAGCUCUCCCAUUCCUCAUCUCAAGGAUAUAAACAAUUUAAAGCUGAGGUAAAUUCUCACAUUCGCACUAUCUCGAACGAAAACAUCAAUGAUUCAAUUAUUUUUAGAAACUUGAAAUUGUGUUUUCUGGCUUGGUGUUUAGGUAGAACUUCUUCUUAGAAUUCAUCACAAGAAUUUGGUCUGUCUUGUUGGGUAUUGCGACGAGGGACAGAACUUGGCUCUUAUCUAUGAAUACAUGGCCAAUGGAGACUUGAAAGAACAUAUAUCAGGUAAGCAGACAAACAUGACGCGGCUGUAUUGUUGUAGUUUUAUCUUGAUAUCAUAAGAGUUUGACAUCUGUGUCUCCAUUUAUAACAUAGGGACACGUAACAGAUUUAUUUUAAACUGGGGAACUAGACUAAAAAUAGUCAUCGAGUCUGCGCAAGGUCUGUGUAUAGAUUAUCCCUGUUAUUUUUCUUAUAUUCUUAUUCUUUGCUUUUCAUUUGAUUGAACAUGUUGGAUUUUUUGGCAUAGGACUUGAGUAUUUGCAUAAUGGUUGCAAACCACCAAUGGUUCAUAGAGACGUCAAAACCACAAAUAUAUUGCUGAAUGAACACUUUGAGGCCAAACUUGCUGAUUUUGGGCUUUCGAGGUCAUUUCCGAUUGGUGAAACUCAUGUGUCAACAGUUGUUGCUGGAACUCCAGGAUAUCUCGAUCCCGAGUAAGUAUAAAUGAUUUUGAAAUAUUUUCUAUUUUCUAUAUUGAGAAAGAAAAUUGAUAAAAUCUAUCCUCUAAUUCAUUUUUUCCAGAUACUACAGAACAAAUUGGUUGACAGAGAAGAGUGAUGUCUAUAGUUUCGGGAUUGUAUUGUUGGAGAUCAUCACAAACCGAAGCGUGAUAGACCAAACCCGUGAAAAGCCACAUAUAGCAGAAUGGGUGGGGUUAAUGCUUACGAAAGGAGACAUCACAAGCAUUAUGGAUCCAAGUCUAAAUGGAGACUAUAUGAUUCUGGUUCUGUUUGGAAAGUUGUUGAACUAGCAAUGUCUUGUCUAAAUCCUUCUUCAACGAGAAGACCUACCAUGUCUCAAGUUGUUAUUGCAUUAAACGAUUGCCUAGCAUCUGAAAAUUCAAGGGCAGGAGCGAGUAGGGACAUGGAAUCAAAGAGUUCCAUAGAAGUGAGCUUAACAUUUGGUACUGACGUGAGGCCAACGGCUUGGUAGAUUACAUGAAAAAUUAUCAUGGGUACCACGGAAAUUUUUGUUUAUAUGUUUACAUAUUUUACGUGAACAAAUAUCAUGCUGUAAUAUAUUCCUAAUCAUUUGGAUCAAUGAUCUUAUGGAUUAUCAAAGUAGAAUAAAAACAUGAUCAGUAUUAUUUUCAUUGAGAUAUAAAUGUUUAAAUGACAUUGAAGCUGUUAUUUCUAAAAGUGAUUAAAACAAUAACACAAUGUUAUAUGUAUUAUGCGUCCCAUCUUAAUAAUUUUGGCAAAAUAUGUAACAUGAAUGUGAUAUUUUUAUAAAAAUAAUUUUUAAACAGUAAAUGUAUUAAUUAAAAUGAAACAAAAAUUAGAAUGCAAAAUAAAUUUAGUUUGUUGGACCAAAAAAUUAGGGCUUCGUGAAGUUGUGAUUGUUUUUGAGUCUCUUAAAGAAAUAUGUAAUAUUUUAUAAUACAACAUAAAUUUAGUUUGUUGGAACAAAAAAAGGUUUCAUGUGAUCGUUUUUUUAAUUUCUUAAAGAAAAACAAAACAUUGCUGUUUUGUUUUUAUUUUGUUUAUAAUUUUAGGUUUUAAUAGAUUAUUAUUAGCUUAUUUUUGUUAAUCACAUAGAUGUAGAAAUGGACAUUACUUAUUUAUAUAUAUGGAUAGUAGAUCAAUGGGUUUACUUUUAUACAAUUAUAUAUGUGAAGAUAUGGGCUUUGGAUCAAUAUUAUUCACUUGGACCAGAAAUUUGAGAUAAAGCCAUAAAGCCCAAUCUAUUGUUAAGUUUACAAGACGUCAUUCCAUUACAAGAUCGGCUACGGUUUUUUCUUUAUUAUAAGAAGCCGUGAGUUUGAAGCCAAACCCUAACAUAAGAGGAGUCAAAGAGCCGUGAGUACAAAGCUAAGAUACAGAGGGAGAGAGAGCAAUUGAGAGAAGAGAGAAGAGGGAAUCCAAGAGAGCACCAAAAGAAGUUUGAGUCUUCUUUGUGUUGUGAUUCAAAUCUUCUCUUCUAUUGUUCUAAUCUGUGACUUGUACUUGAACACAAAGAGAACGUCGGUUAGUGCGUUUGUGUAAUCUUUGAUUGAUAGUGAAAGUUGUGGGAGACGGUUCCCACCCCAGACGUAGCGGUUCGAGGCCGUGAACUGGGUGACCAAACUUUUGUGUUAUUUAAGUUUCUAAUCAUCUAAUAGAUCCUAAGAUCUAAGCACUCAGGAGAAGUUAAAAAACCUUACAAGUGGUAUCAGAGCAUCCAGGUUUGGUUGUGAGUGCUUAAGGAUUAGAUUAGAAACUCAAUGAUGACGACACAAAAGAUGGAGGUGAGCAUGUUCGACGGAUCAGGUGAUUUUGUGAUCUGGAAGAAAAGGAUGCUCGCGUACUUAACCGUUCAAGGUUUGAAAGAUGUUCUUACGGAACCGACAUCCAAAGACGUGGAUGAAAAAGAUCCAGAGGCAAUAAAGAAAAAGAGCAAAGAUGAAGCUUCCAGACUGGAGCGAGAUGAAAAGGCUUUGAAUCUUAUUUUCAUGUGUGUUGGAGAUCAUGUCUUAAGGAAACUAGACAAGUGCGUAACUGCAGCUCAAGCGUGGGCUACUCUUGAGAGGCUUUACAUGGCAAAGACUUUGCCUAAUCGAGUCCAUUCUCAGCUUAAGGUGUAUUCUUUUAAAAUGCAGGAUUCAAGAUCAAUUGAUCAGAAUAUAGAUGACUUCUUGAAGCUGAUUGCAGAUUUAAGCAACCUCAACAUUGAGAUACCAGAAGAAGUUCAAGCAAUACUGCUACUCAACUCUCUUCCCCCUAGAUAUGAUUCUUUAAAAGAUACUCUUAAGUAUAGUAGGGAAGCUAUUGAGUUGGAGGAAAUAGCUAGUGCUGCAAAAUCUAAGGAGAGAGAGCUGGCUGAAAAUGAAAAGCUUUCAAGAUCAGAUGGAGAAGGGUUAUAUGUUGAGGCUAGAGGCAGAUCAGAAAAGAGGUCAGAGAAUGGAAGAGGAAGGUCUAAGAGUAGAGGAAAGAAAAACAACAAAGGUUGCUUUGUUUGUGGAGAUGAAGGACAUUGGAAACGGGAUUGUCCUCAUAGAAAGAAACCUGCAGACUCUGCAAAUGUUGCAACAGAUUCAAAAGAACCAAUGGUGUUAAGUGUCAGUUCGCAAGAUACUAAGAAAGAAUGGAUUAUGGACUCGGGAUGUUCAUACCAUAGUACAUCAGACAAAGAAGUCUUAUUUGACUUCAAGGAGUUUGAUGGUGGUAAAGUUCUGAUGGCUAAUAACACUCAUUGUGACAUCAAAGGAAUGGGAAGGAUUCAAAUUCAGAACCCAGAUGGUUCUGUAGUGAUACUCAAGGAUGUGAAAUACAUACCAGAGGUGAGUAGGAAUCUUAUUUCUUAUGGGAUGUUAGAAAAAUCAGGUUGCAGGUAUGAAGGAGGUAACUUCAAGGUUCAGUUCUACAAAGGCAAGAAGAAGGUAAUAUCUGGAAAAUACCAAGGUGGUUUGUAUUAUCUUCAAGGCACAGUUUCUAAAGUUGACGUGAACAUGCCAAAAGCUGAGGUAGAAGUGAAAAAGAAGAAGUUAAAGAAGGUGACAUUCAGUGAGAAUCUGAUUCAAGGACCUACUCCAUAUCGUUUUGAAACAAGAGAUUUAUUAGAUGAAGGUGGAGACUCUUCUUCAUCAGAAGAAUCUAAAAAGGUGGCUGAAAUUAAGUCUAAGAAAGUUUCAAGGGAUUUGCAAGAAAUCAGAAGCUUUAAUGAAAAUCUGAGCAUGGAGUUUAAGGAGAAUGGCGUGGGAAAGGUUUCAGAGAUUUUGGAAACGGGUACCUUCGGAGGUAAAGCUAAAGGAGAUUUAGUUUUACCUACAGUUCACACAAGUAAAAGUCCAGCAGAGUUUGUAAGUGAAGCAGUACCUGAACAGAAAGCUCAGGUGUGCUGCGAUCCUCUCAACAUAGUCUAAGGUUGGUACAGCUCCAGGUAACUCCAUAUUAUUGGCAUGGUACUCUCGCAGGAAGAACACAGAAACGGUCGGUUUUGGAAAUGUUCUUAUGUCGAUAAUUAAUGGAUUAGAGGAGUUACCUGUAGUCAUCUGAAAUCAUGGUGAGGAGACUUUGAUACCAGGUGGAGCUGUUGGGAGAUUCAAGGGAAGACAAGUUAGCUGUGUUUUUCAUGAAUCUGGGAAGCAAGUCGAGAGUACAAGAUUCAGGUUAAGGGACUUACCUGAGGUAAUCUAAGUAGCUGAAGAACAUGGGCUGUUCAUCGGAAGGAGCUGCAAAGAAGAUGAAAUUGAAACUGAUUAGUUUCAGGUGGAAUAGCUGGAAGUGAUUCAUGAAGAGGUUGAUUCAAAGCUCAGUGCACAUGAGAUGAAUCAACAGGUCGACAAAGAUGAAUCAAGUUUUCUGGAGAAGCUACAAAGUAUGAAAUUAGAAGAUUUCAUAGUGUCUCAGAAAUAUCAGUUGAUACAGAGACAAGCAAAGAUAGAUGGUUCAGGUCAAGAGGGUUACCUGGAAUCAUCGGAACAAUGAACAAGAUGAAGUGGUUUAGUUGCUACGAGGUUGUUCAUCAGUGAAGCUGCGUAAUGAACCGGUCGAAAUUUUUCCAGAAUUUCGUGAAUUGGGAAUCUCAGAAAGGGUCAAUUUCAAAUCAUCACAGAGAGGAGAUGAAGAGGAAAUUGAGAAUACCUGAGAUUACAGAAGAUUAUUGCGACAGAAGAAUUGCAGGAGAUGUAUUUUUUGGGUCUCAGAAAAAUUUGCAUUUGAAAAUCACUAUCGGGAAGAAAUCAAAGGAAUUUAGGGCUCGGCGUCCUCAGUGGGAAGGAAGAAAGCAUCGGCGGCCACUAGAAGGUACCUUGACGGAGAUAAAGAACUCGCCGGAGUUGCAGAUCGCGUUUUGCAUUCAGUGAAGGAGAAACUUCGAUCUCGUCAUCGGGAAAACGGAAAGGCCGCAGAGAAUUUGCAAGCGUGAGGGCGGUUCAGAGACGACAUAGGAGAAUGGUGAAGAUGGCUUAACGGUGAUCGGAGAUUACAGCCAAUGUCGGGAAAGCAAGUUUUUUCUUUUGUCGUCAAAAGGGAUCGUGAAAGGAAGGUGAUGGAGUGAUGGACUUAAGCAAACCAAAGCCCAAGGUGGAGAUUGUGAAGAUAUGGGCUUUGGAUCAAUAUUAUUCACUUGGACCAGAAAUUUGAGAUAAAGCCAUAAAGCCCAAUCUAUUGUUAAGUUUACAAGACGUCAUUCCAUUACAAGAUCGGCUACGGUUUUUUCUUUAUUAUAAGAAGCCGUGAGUUUGAAGCCAAACCCUAACACAAGAGGAGUCAAAGAGCCGUGAGUACAAAGCUAAGAUACAGAGGGAGAGAGAGCAAUUGAGAGAAGAGAGAAGAGGGAAUCCAAGAGAGCACCAAAAGAAGUUUGAGUCUUCUUUGUGUUGUGAUUCAAAUCUUCUCUUCUAUUGUUCUAAUCUGUGACUUGUACUUGAACACAAAGAGAACGUCGGUUAGUGCGUUUGUGUAAUCUUUGAUUGAUAGUGAAAGUUGUGGGAGACGGUUCCCACCCCAGACGUAGCGGUUCGAGGCCGUGAACUGGGUGACCAAACUUUUGUGUUAUUUAAGUUUCUAAUCAUCUAAUAGAUCCUAAGAUCUAAGCACUCAGGAGAAGUUAAAAAACCUUACAAUAUAAAUAUAAAUAAAUGAUAAAUUGUUUGAUCAAACUUGAAAAUAUACAAUAAUAAAUUUUUAAUUAAAAUUUUGGGUCACCCUAUGGGUCAGAGCUGGGAUUGUAGAUAAUGGAAAACCCGACCCUCCAAAAUAAUUAUUUAAUCUUCAAAUAAUUCACAAACUAUUUUACUAACCUUCUGAAAAUUUAGAAAAUUCAAUUUAUCAAAACAUUGUAAAUGUUGAGAAAUGAUUUUUGGUUAAUAAUAAUCCGUUUUUAACAGUUGAAAAAUAUUUUAGGAAUAACAUAUUUUUCAAACCUCAUAAUACAAAUAAUAUUGUGUUAUUUUGUUUCAAACAAUUAUGAAAAUUGCUCGAAGCAUUUGGGGAUAUGAUAUGAAGUACAGAAAAUUUGGUUCCAAAAAUAUUACUUUUUAUUAAUAAAAAAUAAAUGAAUCUGAGCAGAAUAUCGGUCGGAGGAAAUAAACAGAGGCUGUUUUGCUUCUUCCGAAACACCUAUGGGUCCAAAAAGUCAGCAGUAAAAACUUCGAGUAGCUGGAUAAUUGGUACUUGUUUUCCACGUCUACGGUCUACUAAAGCCAAAAUUCCAGCGUGUUCGUUUGGGUUGCCUUAUUCAACGGUUUUUAGGUUCUAACUUCUAGUUAGGGCUGGGCAAGGUAAGGACAUGUACACGACAGAGUUUUCGACCAAAAAAGACACUCUUGUCAUGUUCUCUCAACAUGCUUUACCGAAUCAUUUUGCACCGUGAAAAGAUUAUCCUCAAUUAAUUUUAUUUGACUGAUUAAUGUGAGACUUAUAAGGAGUUGACUUGACUUAGACCUUUUGAGAAUAUAUUGGCUUAUAUAAUCAGAUACUCAUAUGCAAGAUAUCUCAUAAAUAAAAAGAAAAAGAAGAUCGAAAAUGGAGAGACAUUGUGUGUUCCUUGCCAUUUUUAUGCUGAUACUUCAUCUUGUUCAAGCUAAUGAUCCAACCGGUACGUACAAAAUUGUUGUUUCAAUCAAUACACGAAUGUGUAUUCUUCAAAACGGUUUCUUAAAUUAUAAGAUAUAUAUUUUUCAUCUUUUAUGUCAUUAGGAUUUUUUUUUUUUAAUAUGUCAUUAGGAUUCAUCAACGUGGAUUGCGGUUUACUCCCUAAUGAGCCUCCUUACACUGCACACUCAAUCAAUUUAGAAUAUACAUCAGAUGCCGGUUUAGUUAACAGUGGGAAAACCGGUAUAAUCGCCAAGGAGUUUGAAUCGAGAUACUCUAAGCCGAGUUUGACAUUGAGAUACUUUCCAGACGGACUACGAAACUGCUACAACCUAAAUGUGACCCGCGGCACCAACUAUCUGAUCAGGGCCACAUUCGUAUAUGGAAAUUACGAUGGUCUUAAUAUCAAUCCGAACUUCGACCUUUACAUGGGUCCAAAUUUAUGGACAACGGUGAGUACUAGUAAAACUGCUAAGGAGAUCAUCCAUGUGACGAAAUCCAAUUCGUUACAGGUCUGCCUUGUUAAGACGGGUGAGACUAUACCUUUUAUUAAUAUCUUGGAACUACGACCACUGAGAAAAAAUGCGUACGUCACUCAAAGUGGCUCAUUGAAUUUGUUCUCCAGGAGGUAUCUUAGCAACUCAAGUCGUACUAUAAGGUAAGAAACCUAUGCAUUUAUGUUUAUAUUUGAAAAAUGUGCAUUUUCUUCAAAUAAGACAAACAAUAUUGAAUCUUUAAUUUUUUUUUGUCCAACCAUUUCUUAUAUUAAUCUUAAUCCAGCCCACUCAAAUUGAAUCUUUAAUUUUUUUUAAAAAAAUUGUAUACUGUAAGCGCGAGAGCCAAACUGAAACUAAAAACACCGUUUGCAUUUUGAGUUUUUUUGGCUUAUUAUCAAAUUUUAUUCUUUAAAAAUAAAACAUAUAUUACUUGUCAAUCCAAAUUAAAACAUAUAUUACUUGCAUUUGAAACGAUCCAAAUUAAGCCGUAAGUUAGAUUGGUAUUAAUGUGGUGUGAUAUAAUAUUGUAACAGGCACCCAUCUGAUGUCUAUGAUCGUAUAUGGGACCCAUUGUUCGUGAAGAACUUAUGGAAACAAGUAACGACGACUCUGGAUGUAAAUGUUAAUAACGAAUAUGAAUUACCAAAAGGUGUAAUGGCAACGUGCGUAACGCCCCUAAACGCUAACGCGACAUUAAACAUUAACUGGAUUUUAAAGCCUCCUACUACAAAGUUUUACUCCUACAUGCACUUUGCAGAGCUUCAGACUCUAAAAGCCAACGAUACAAGGGAAUUCGAUGUAACACUCAAUGGAAAACUUUCAUAUGGAAAGUACAGUCCUAAGCCGCUAAAAUCCAUAACCAUAUUCGACGUAAUGCCACACCAGUGCGACAGGUCAGGGGAAUGUCUUUUGGAGCUUUUGAAGACAUCGAAUUCAACUCUUCCACCUCUACUUAAUGCUAUCGAAGUUUACACUGUGAUUGAUUUCCCGCAAAUGGAGACAAAUGAAGAUGACGGUAUGUUGAUUGUCUUAAUUAUAAAUUCUUUAUCUUACCUACAAAUGUUUUUGCGCUUUGUGUGUGGAUUGUUGAUAUCAUCAAGCUUUACAAUCGUAGUUGCUGGUAUCAAGAAUGUUCAAGAUGCUUAUGGAUUGAAUAAAACCACUUGGCAAGGAGAUCCAUGUGUCCCCAAACAGUUUUUGUGGGACGGUCUAAACUGCGAUAACUCCGAUAUUUCUACUCCACCGAUAAUCACUUCAUUGUAAGAUGAAUCAUUCAAUAAUAUUUCUCUCUAUUAAAUCAUGUCGAUUUUUGAACUAGAUAUCUCACAGUUUCUUUCUCCAGAGACUUAUCUGCAAGUGAAUUAACCGGGAUCAUCACGCAUGCCAUUCAAAAUCUUACUCACUUACAAAAACUGUAAGUAUAUGACCAAGCCUAAAAGUCUAAAACUUGUUUAGCCUUUUGAAAUUAAUCGUGUUUGAUGUGAUAUUUCACCUUUGUUAAUGGUAGGGACUUGUCAAAUAACAAUUUGUCUGGAGAAGUACCUGAAUUUCUAGCUGACAUAAAAUCACUCUUGGUCAUGUAAGUUUUUCAUGAGACACUACAGAUUGUUUACUCUUGGCAUUCUCCUGAACAUGUUUGUUUAUGUUUUAACUAUAUGUCUACUCCAACAGAGACUUAAGAGGUAAUAAUCUCAGUGGCUCGGUUCCUCCCUCACUUCUUCAGAAGAAAGGAUUGAUGCUACAGUAAGCUAUAUAUAUAUUUUUUUUUUCUAAUUGUUAUCACGCCAAUUGAUGUAUUUGGUAUCAUUAACACUCAAAUUCUCGACAACAAUCCCCAUCUUCUUUGCACUACUGAUUCAGAUAAUGUACUAUUUGGUAUAUUAACAACACUCACUUUUUGCAGUGUUGAAGGAAACCCUCAUCUUCUUUGCACAACUGGUUCAUGUGUGAACAAAGGACAUAAGAAAAAGAGUACCAUUGUACCAGUGGUUGCAUCAAUUGCAUCAAUAGCUGUUCUUAUAGGUGCACUCGUCCUGUUCCUUGUUCUCAGAAAGAAAAAGGCAUCAAAAGUAGAAGGUAUUAAUAAAUAAACCCGAGAAUAAUAUCACCACAUACAUAAAUAUCAAACUUAAGUAAGUCUGGCUAAAUUUUUUGCUUUCUAAUCUUAGGGCCACCACCAUCAUAUAUGCAAGCGUCAGAUGGUAGAACUCCUAGAUCAUAUGAACCAGCAACAAUGACAAAGAAUAAAAGGUUUACUUACUCGGAAAUUAUGACGAUGACAAAUAACUUCCAAAGAGUCCUUGGUAAAGGAGGUUUUGGAACCGUUUACCAUGGUUUUGUGAACGGUACAGAACAAGUAGCUGUUAAGAUGCUCUCGCAUUCAUCAUCUCAAGGAUAUAAACAAUUCAAAGCUGAGGUAAAUUCUCAAUUUCAUCACUAUCUCUACGAAAACAUCAACGAUUCAACUAUUUUUAAGAACUUGAACUUAUGUAUUCUGGCUUGUUGUUUAGGUAGAACUUCUUCUUAGAGUUCAUCACAAGAACUUGGUUGGUCUUGUUGGGUAUUGCGACGAAGGAGAGAACGUGGCUCUAAUCUAUGAAUACAUGGCCAAUGGAGAUUUGAAAGAACAUAUGUCAGGUAAGAAGACAAACAUGACCCGAAUGUAUUGUUGUAGAUUUCUGGUUAUAGCAUAAGACAUUGAUAUCUAUCUCUCAUUUAAAACACAGGAAUAAGAAACCGAUUUAUUUCCAAUUGGGGAACUAGACUAAAAAUAGUCAUCGACUCUGCACAAGGUUGGUUUACAGAUUGUCCCUAUCAUUUUUCUUAUCUUUGUUUCUUUGCUUAUCAUUUGAUUAAACAUGUCGGAUUUUGUGGCAUAGGACUUGAGUAUUUGCAUAAUGGAUGCAAACCACAAAUGGUUCAUAGGGACGUCAAAACCACAAAUAUAUUGUUAAAUGAACACUUUGAGGCCAAACUUGCUGAUUUUGGCCUUUCGAGGUCAUUUCCCACUGGAGGUGAAACUCAUGUGUCAACAGCUGUUGCUGGAACUCCAGGAUAUCUCGAUCCCGAGUAAGUAUAAUCGCUUGAUAGAUUCUCCAUUUUCUAUUAUUGGAAAGAAAAAUGAUAUAUCUAUGCUUCAAUUCAUUCUCCAGAUACUACAGAACAAACUGGUUGACAGAGAAGAGUGAUGUAUAUAGUUUUGGGAUUGUAUUAUUGGAGAUCAUCACAAACCGACGGGUGAUCGACCAAAGUCGUGAAAAGUCACAUAUAGCAGAAUGGGUGGGGCUAAUGCUUACUAAAGGAGACAUCACAAGCAUUAUGGAUCCAAGUCUAAAUGGAGAUUAUGAUUCAGGUUCUGUGUGGAAAGCUGUUGAACUAGCAAUGUCUUGUCUGAACCCAUCUUCAACGAGAAGACCUACCAUGUCUCAAGUUGUUAUUGAAUUAAACGAUUGUCUAGCAUCUGAAAAUUCAAGAGGAGGAGCGAGUAGGGACAUGGACUCAAAGAGUUCCAUAGA